UGGAGUUUUCAGCAGAGGAAUUAUGUCCUAAAAUCAUUCUGGUUGUAGCUGGGAAGUAUUCAGAAGAGAAGAAUCUGGACAUGGAGAAAACUGAUAAGAGAGAAUAUACAGAUAAAGCUUUCUUUACAGGUUUGGCACAACAUCUUUCUUGCUUGUGGUUUUGUAAGAGACCAAGGGCGAGCUCUCUUUCAUGGGAGCCUAGACCUCCAUGCCAUAUUACCCACGGAAGUGAAAAUUCCCAGUUUUCAGCGGACACAACAUCUGUUUGUAUGUGGUGCUGAGGAUCGAACCCGGGC
Molecule: long non-coding RNA, 296 nt
Organism: Marmota monax (woodchuck)
Lineage: Eukaryota; Metazoa; Chordata; Mammalia; Rodentia; Sciuridae
Exons: 3
Source: RefSeq, a predicted model, not a curated record